UUGAACGCUGGCGGCAGGCCUAACACAUGCAAGUCGAGCGGAUGAAGGGAGCUUGCUCCUGGCUUCAGCGGCGGACGAGUGAGUAAUGCCUAGGAAUCUGCCUGGUAGUGGGGGAUAACGUCCGGAAACGGGCGCUAAUACCGCAUACGUCCUGAGGGAGAAAGUGGGGGAUCUUCGGACCUCACGCUAUCAGAUGAGCCUAGGUCGGAUUAGCUAGUUGGUGGGGUAAGGGCCUACCAAGGCGACGAUCCGUAACUGGUCUGAGAGGAUGAUCAGUCACACUGGAACUGAGACACGGUCCAGACUCCUACGGGAGGCAGCAGUGGGGAAUAUUGGACAAUGGGCGAAAGCCUGAUCCAGCCAUGCCGCGUGUGUGAAGAAGGUCUUCGGAUUGUAAAGCACUUUAAGUUGGGAGGAAGGGCAGUAAGUUAAUACCUUGCUGUUUUGACGUUACCAACAGAAUAAGCACCGGCUAACUUCGUG
Molecule: ribosomal RNA, 483 nt
Filed under: uncultured bacterium
Lineage: Bacteria
Description: partial 16S ribosomal RNA
Rfam family: Bacterial small subunit ribosomal RNA
Source: RNAcentral